RNAcentral lists this ribosomal RNA (253 nucleotides) under uncultured prokaryote. RNAcentral's name for it is "partial 16S ribosomal RNA". It matches the Rfam family "Bacterial small subunit ribosomal RNA", at positions 525 to 777 of the family's 1533-position model. The record is from RNAcentral.
ACGGGGGGGGCAAGCGUUGUUCGGAAUUACUGGGCGUAAAGGGCGCGUAGGCGGCCUUCUAAGUCGAACGUGAAAUCCCCGGGCUCAACCCGGGAACUGCGUCCGAUACUGGAAGGCUUGAAUCCGGGAGAGGGAUGUGGAAUUCCCAGUGUAGCGGUGAAAUGCGUAGAUAUUGGGAGGAACACCAGUGGCGAAGGCGGUCCCCUGGGCCGGAACUGACGCUGAGGCGCGAAAGCGUGGGUAGCAAACGGGA